This 96-nucleotide small RNA is filed under the name Salmonella enterica. RNAcentral describes it as "partial RtT sRNA". It matches the Rfam family "RtT RNA", at positions 48 to 130 of the family's 130-position model. Rfam says of the family: This family represents a bacterial cis-regulatory element known as RtT RNA. The exact function of RtT is unknown although it is thought that it may be involved in changing the cellular response in relation to amino acid starvation. Lineage: Bacteria; Pseudomonadati; Pseudomonadota; Gammaproteobacteria; Enterobacterales; Enterobacteriaceae. RNAcentral also lists the same sequence under 1 other name. The record is from RNAcentral.
GUUAGGUGGAAACGAAAAUAAAACGUGAAGGAUAACGUUGCGUUAGCAACGGCCCGUAGGGCGAGGCGAAGCCGAGUCAUCCUGCACGACCCACCA